This 415-nucleotide ribosomal RNA is filed under the name Veillonella parvula. RNAcentral's name for it is "bacterial SSU rRNA". It matches the Rfam family "Bacterial small subunit ribosomal RNA", at positions 28 to 419 of the family's 1533-position model. Lineage: Bacteria; Bacillati; Bacillota; Negativicutes; Veillonellales; Veillonellaceae. The record is from RNAcentral.
GACGAACGCUGGCGGCGUGCUUAACACAUGCAAGUCGAACGAAGAGCGAUGGAAGCUUGCUUCUAUCAAUCUUAGUGGCGAACGGGUGAGUAACGCGUAAUCAACCUGCCCUUCAGAGGGGGACAACAGUUGGAAACGACUGCUAAUACCGCAUACGACCUAAUCUCGGCAUCGAGGAUAGAUGAAAGGUGGCCUCUACAUGUAAGCUAUCACUGAAGGAGGGGAUUGCGUCUGAUUAGCUAGUUGGAGGGGUAACGGCCCACCAAGGCGAUGAUCAGUAGCCGGUCUGAGAGGAUGAACGGCCACAUUGGGACUGAGACACGGCCCAGACUCCUACGGGAGGCAGCAGUGGGGAAUCUUCCGCAAUGGACGAAAGUCUGACGGAGCAACGCCGCGUGAGUGAAUGACGGCCCUU